UUCAGUAUGAAAGAGAGACUUUAACAAAACUCAUCUUUUUUCCAAGGAAAUGCAAUGUGGCAAGUGAAGCUUCUCAGUCUUUACCACGUACAUAUUCCCCCUCUAUAAAGACCUUCUCCACUCACCUUAGCUGGCAUCACAAGCCAAGCUUUAGGAGAUUCUUUUUGUAGUCCAAGAAGAGAGCAACCAGGCAAGAGGGAAAGAAAUGUUUCAGAACAUUGUUACUGCUAUCGCAUCAUGCUGUACUGGGGACAGUAAGAUGAAGAUCAAAGGCACUGUUGUGUUGAUGAAGAAGAAUGUCUUAGAAUUCAAUGACUUUCAUGCUUCGGUUCUUGAUCGUGGCCAUGAUCUGUUGUUAGGCCAAGGAGUCUCUCUGCAAGUCAUUAGCGCUGCUAAAAGUGACCCGCCAGGUUGUUAUGCUAUUCAAUACUCUAACACCCCCUCUCAAACUGUGGGGAAGAAGACAGACACACAGUUUGUCUCUUAGAAAGCAAUACCGAUUUGCAGUAUGACUUUUUGUAAAGACAUCGGCAAUUUGGUCUUAUGUUGAGGAUUUGAAGCUAAUGCAAUAUAUAGCACUUACAUUGUCACACCAUAAGCUUGGGGCAGUAGACAACGCGAUAUGUAAUUCUUGAAGAAGCAUGCGAAGCUAGUACAGUUCAGCAGUUGUAUAAGUCAUGCUUCUAUAUUCAGCCUUUAUGCUAGAUCGAGAGACAACACUCUGCUUUUUGCUGCACCAAGAUAUAAGAUUAUUGCCAAUAAACACACCAUAACCAGUGGUGCUCCGCCUAUUAUCAGGAUUGCCUGCCCAAUCAGAGUCACAGUAGGCAUGCAUUAUGAUUGUCCUUGGAGUGUAAAGAAGACCAAACUCGAUAGUACCUUUUAGAUAGCGUAAGACACGCUUGACAGCUAUCCAAUGCAGUUCACGCGGAAAGUGCAUAAACUGGCAUAAUUGGUUUACUGAGUAGGAAAUAUCUGGUCUUGUGAUUGUGCAGUAUUGAAGAGCCCCUACAACUCGUCGAUAUUCAGUUGGAUUUUCUAAUAGUUCACCAGCAGUAGAUGAGAGUUUGGAGCCAGAGGAUGAUGGACAACGGAGAGGCCUUGCACUAAGCAUGUAGGUACAGUUAAGCAAAUCAGUGAUAUACUUAGUCUGUCGUAGAUGUAAACCAGUUUGGUUCCUAAGUACUUCAACACCAAGAAAGUAGCUCAAUUCACCCAAGUCUUUAAUUGGAAACACAUUCUGUAGUUGAUCAAUAAAAUAAUGAACUGAUUAACGUUGGAUCCUA
Populus nigra (black poplar) is the source of this 1286-nucleotide long non-coding RNA. RefSeq lists it as uncharacterized. The record is from RefSeq and is a predicted model, not a curated record. Lineage: Eukaryota; Viridiplantae; Streptophyta; Magnoliopsida; Malpighiales; Salicaceae. The transcript has 3 exons.